This 207-nucleotide ribosomal RNA is filed under the name uncultured bacterium. RNAcentral describes it as "partial 16S ribosomal RNA". It matches the Rfam family "Bacterial small subunit ribosomal RNA", at positions 568 to 774 of the family's 1533-position model. The record is from RNAcentral.
CGUGUAGGCGGUUGGGUAAGUCAGAUGUGAAAGCCCUGGGCUCAACCCAGGAAGUGCAUUUGAAACUACCCAACUUGAGUACGGGAGAGGAAGGGGGAAUUCCCGGUGUAGAGGUGAAAUUCGUAGAUAUCGGGAGGAGUACCGGUAGCGAAGGCGCCCUUCUGGACUGAUACUGACGCUGAGACGCGAAAGCGUGGGGAGCAAACA